Molecule: long non-coding RNA, 1629 nt
Filed under: Nicotiana tabacum (common tobacco)
Lineage: Eukaryota; Viridiplantae; Streptophyta; Magnoliopsida; Solanales; Solanaceae
Description: long non-coding RNA (NTAB_LNC007556)
Source: RNAcentral
CUUGAGGUAAAACAAGUACCAAAUGUUCUCUCAUGUUUUCUUUGUAGAUUGUCCUAAUAUUUCAGUAACUUUGGGUAGAAUAAUUCAUGCAAGACUUGAGAGGCGUGGGGGUGUUCAUGUUGUAUCUCCUACUUGAGUUUUAAGGCAUUUUUCUUGUUGAAGUCAACCUCAAUUUGAAGGAAACCUUGCUGUAAUAUUUCAAGAAUUACUUUUGAUAAGGAUUUGAAGCAAAGAAAGGCUAAGGUAUGUGAGUUUUAACUUCUUUCUUCAUAGGCAUUGUUAGCUCCAAUGUUUCACAUAUUGAUUUUGAUGAUACCAAACCAGCAUAACUUUUAGUAAAAUAAUAUUUACUUAUGGUAAUUUAUUUUUGUACAGGUUUGCUAAAAGAAGAAUGAUCAAAGAUGAUAUAUAGAAGAUUUGCAGAAGAGUGAAGGAGAUAUGGAAGAUGUUAUAAAGAAGGAAAGUCCAAAGCUAAUGGAUAUGGUAUAGAAGCAGCUUGGAAAAAUUAUAUUCAAAGGAUGAGAAGGAAAUAUUUUAUUAGAAGGAGAUAGCAUGAAAUAAUUUAAGAAGUAAAUAUGCUUCGUUGAUCAAAGAAUUAGUUAUGGAAAAGAUUUGUGUUAGCCCCAAGGUUCAAUCAAUUGGAAAAAGAAUCAAGAGAGUUGCAACAACAUAUUCGAGAAAGGAAAGAGAUCUAUUAAUGAUCACUUCUACAAAUUAUGCUAGAAUAGUGAAAAGUGAGAAUGAAUUCCACUACUAGACUUUGCAUGUUUGAAGACCCACUUUCACUAAUUAUCUGGAUUAGUGAAGAGUGAUAAUGAAUUUCAUCAAUAGACUUUAUAUGUUUGAAGACCCUAUUAAUUAUGUCUUUUCCAUCAAAUAUGCUUCGUUAAUCAAGGAAUUAGUUAUGGAAAAGAUCUGUAUUAGCCCCAAGGUUCAAUCAAUUGGAAAAAGAAUCAAGAGAGAUACAAUAAGAUAUUCGAGAAAGGAAAGAGAUCUAUUAAUCAUCACUUCCACAAAUUAUGCUGGAAUAGUGAAGAGUGAGAAUGAAUUUCACCGAAUGAAUUUCACUACUAGACUUUGCAUAUUUGAAGACCCACUUUCACUAAUUAUGCUGGAUUAGUGAAGAGUGAGAAUGAAUUCCACCACAAGACUUUACAUGUUUGAAUACCCCAUUAAUUAUGUCUUUUCCAAUCAAAGGAAGGCAAGGUACGAAGGAAGAUAUCAUAAGCUGCUAGGAUGUUUUGAAAGAAUCAAAAAGAGUCCAGAUUCUUUAUUAGAUGGAAGAAGCUAUUUAUGGAAUGAAAAACUAAAUCAUUCCAUAAAAGAUGCAACGACAAAAAUAUAAAAGGAAGGAGCAGCUUAUAAGGGCAAGAAUAUUUAUGACUGAAUAUUUUAUGGAAUUGGCUAUGAAGAAAUAUGAUAUUCGGAAUGAAAGUUGUAGACAAAAAUCAAUCACCGAGGCUAUUUGAGGAAGGAAAUAAAAAAAAGACUCUAUGAUUGGAGUUUGAAAUUUAAAUGGGACCUUUUAAAAGAAAAGAAUUUGUUUGACACAAGAUGUAAUGGUGCAAGUCCACUUUUGGGACACAUGGUAGCAACAAUCAAAAAUUCUAAAAGAAGACAUGCGAUGAU